GACGAACGCUGGCGGCGUGCUUAACACAUGCAAGUCGAACGCUGAAGACCUGGCUUUUGUUGGGUUGGAUGAGUGGCGAACGGGUGAGUAACACGUGAGUAACCUGCCCUCUUCUUUGGGAUAACGCCCGGAAACGGGUGCUAAUACUGGAUAUUCACUGAUCUUCGCAUGGGGGUUGGUGGAAUGGUUUGUUCUGGUGGGGGAUGGGCUCGCGGCCUAUUAGCUUGUUGGUGGGGUGAUGGCCUACCAAGGCUUUGACGGGUAGCCGGCCUGAGGGGGUGACCGGUCACGGUGGGACGGAGAUACGGCCCAGACUCCUACGCGAGGCAGCAGUGGGGGAUAUUGGAGAGGGGGAGAAAGCCUGAGGCAGCGACGCCGCGUGGGGGAUGGGGGCCUUCGGGUUGGAAACCUCUUUCGCUCAUGGUCAAGCCUCAACUGUGGGUUGUGGUGAGGGUAGUGGGUAAAGAAGCGCCGGCUAACUACGUG
This 486-nucleotide ribosomal RNA is filed under the name uncultured bacterium. RNAcentral's name for it is "partial 16S ribosomal RNA". It matches the Rfam family "Bacterial small subunit ribosomal RNA", at positions 28 to 507 of the family's 1533-position model. The record is from RNAcentral.